AUUGAACGCUGGCGGCAGGCCUAACACAUGCCAGUCGAGCGGAUGAAGGGAGCUUGCUCCUGGAUUCAGCGGCGGACGGGUGAGUAAUGCCUAGGAAUCUGCCUGGUAGUGGGGGAUAACGUCCGGAAACGGGCGCUAAUACCGCAUACGUCCUGAGGGAGAAAGUGGGGGAUCUUCGGACCUCACGCUAUCAGAUGAGCCUAGGUCGGAUUAGCUAGUUGGUGGGGUAAAGGCCUACCAAGGCGACGAUCCGUAACUGGUCUGAGAGGAUGAUCAGUCACACUGGAACUGAGACACGGUCCAGACUCCUACGGGAGGCAGCAGUGGGGAAUAUUGGACAAUGGGCGAAAGCCUGAUCCAGCCAUGCCGCGUGUGUGAAGAAGGUCUUCGGAUUGUAAAGCACUUUAAGUUGGGAGGAAGGGCAGUAAGUUAAUACCUUGCAGUUUUGACGUUACCAACAGAAUAAGCACCGGCUAACUUCGUG
Molecule: ribosomal RNA, 484 nt
Filed under: uncultured bacterium
Lineage: Bacteria
Description: partial 16S ribosomal RNA
Rfam family: Bacterial small subunit ribosomal RNA
Source: RNAcentral